This 226-nucleotide ribosomal RNA is filed under the name uncultured bacterium. RNAcentral's name for it is "partial 16S ribosomal RNA". It matches the Rfam family "Bacterial small subunit ribosomal RNA", at positions 538 to 763 of the family's 1533-position model. The record is from RNAcentral.
GCGUUGUCCGGAAUUACUGGGCGUAAAGAGCUCGUAGGCGGUUUGUCGCGUCGACUGUGAAAUCCCAUGGCUCAACUGUGGGCGUGCAGUCGAUACGGGCAGACUUGAGUACUGCAGGGGAGACUGGAAUUCCUGGUGUAGCGGUGAAAUGCGCAGAUAUCAGGAGGAACACCGGUGGCGAAGGCGGGUCUCUGGGCAGUAACUGACGCUGAGGAGCGAAAGCAUG